GUCAAAAUCCUUGACAGGAAGAGAAAACUACUCAGAUAUAAAAGGAAAGAUGGCUAAGAGGUGAAACUAAAAAGUCAGAGAACAGAGACACAAGCCAUGAAGAAUUAUUCCAGAUUUUGAGACUUAUUUAAUCUUAAAGAUUUUCCUGGCUGGAUUUCAGAAUUCUCAUCAAGCAAUGACUCCCUUAUGCAUCCAAGUUUCUCUCCUUUUUUUAACAGAAAAUUUUACAACAGAUAGCCUAUGUCCAUCCUACUAUUGUACAUUGGGUGUGGAGAGUGGGGGACAGACAAUGUGUCUCUUCAGUUUCGUAGGUCUACACAUUGAAAGGAUAUGCACUUGAGAAGCUGUGCUUAAGGAACUAUAGCUGAUGAAUCCCAUCCAUACCUGCACCUGAUUUAAUAAGAUUCUGGACUUUGAUGCUACAACAAGAUGAAAUUUUGGGUGAUAUUGGUUGGGAGUGAAAGUAUUUUCAUGUGGGGUGGACAUGAAUUAUUGGGCUCCAGAGAAUAAAUUAUAGAAGGCAGUUUCUUAGAUGGCUCUAUUAGUCCUUAUCUUCUGGUAUUCAAGCCCUAGUUUAAACCCCUCCACUUGAGCGUGGGCUGGACUUACUGACUCUGAGAGAAAGUAUGUGAUAAUAUUAGAAUAUAGAAAGACUGAGAAUAGGGACUUCUAGAUUUCACGCUCUUGCUUGUUUUCUCCCUUUCCCAUUCUGAAGGAAGCCAGCUAUCAUGUCUUGAACUGCCUUAUGGAGAGAGUCACAUAGUGAGAAAUAGAAGGAGAUCUCCAGCCAACAUCCAGAAAGGAAAUAAGAGCCUCCAACAGCCUGCAGAACUGAGUUUUUCCAAGAAGCUCCUGAGUGAGCUUAAAAUAGGUUCCUCUCCCACAUGAGCCUUCAGAUGAAACCACAGCCCCAGCCAAUAGUUUGACUGCAACUUCAGGAAAGACCUUGGUCUAGAGGUACCCACCUAAGUUGCAGUCACAUUCCUGACUCAGAGGAACUGUGAGAAAAUAAAUGAUUACUGCUUUAAGCCUCCAAGUUUUGAGCUUACAUCUAUAACCGUGCCAAAAACACAGAAAUCAAGAGAAACAGCAGGGCCCAGAGGACCAGGUAAAAUUCUAGGAUUUGAAAGAACUGAAUUAAAGAACCACCACUGACUUUCUUGAGGUUGCAUGAACUCAUUUAGGCUAAUUAAAAACCAUCUAUGGAGUAAAAAUAAAAAUAAUCAUGUACUUCAUAAGGCUGUAUUGGGACUAACAAAUAAAAUGGAUCAUAAAGCACUUAACCAAAUAGAACCAAAGGGCUACACUACAA
RNAcentral lists this long non-coding RNA (1312 nucleotides) under Equus caballus (horse). RNAcentral's name for it is "lncRNA (ENSECAG00000048554.1)". The record is from RNAcentral. Lineage: Eukaryota; Metazoa; Chordata; Mammalia; Perissodactyla; Equidae.